AUGAUUUCACCCCCUGCCUCACCGAGUACUGCUGUGAUUCAGGCUGAAAGCUCUGAAGAUGAUCUUUGUCUUUUGUCGGCGGCAGCGGUUCAAGGUACAGAAGCACCCAAAGCUUUUCGGUUGUCUGAAAAAAUUGGAAACAAGGUGCUGCUCAUGCUCGUGGACUCCGGGAGCUCUCACAGCUUUGUCAACACCGAGACUGCUCAAGAUUGGGAGGGGGUGCAAGCUAUGCGUGUACCACUGAAAGUCAAGGUUGCUGAUGGGGCAGUUACACUAUGCGAUCAAGAAGUGCCUGACUGCGAAUAUGUUAUUCAAGGCCACCGAUUCAGUUCCACACUCAAGUUAUUUCCCUUGGGCAGUUAUGAUAUAGUGCUGGGUAUGGAUUGGCUCGAGUCUAGAGGCCUGAUGACCGUCAACUGGGGGGAGAAGCUAAUGACAUUUCAGCACAAGGGCGCGUACAUUUAG
Molecule: ribosomal RNA, 465 nt
Filed under: Triticum aestivum (bread wheat)
Lineage: Eukaryota; Viridiplantae; Streptophyta; Magnoliopsida; Poales; Poaceae
Description: partial small subunit ribosomal RNA
Source: RNAcentral